Molecule: ribosomal RNA, 440 nt
Filed under: uncultured bacterium
Lineage: Bacteria
Description: bacterial SSU rRNA
Rfam family: Bacterial small subunit ribosomal RNA
Source: RNAcentral
CCUACGGGUGGCUGCAGUCGAGAAUCUUCCGCAAUGGGCGAAAGCCUGACGGAGCGACGCCGCGUGCGGGAUGAAGGCCCUUGGGUUGUAAACCGCUGUCAGGGGGGAUGAAAGCCGCAAGGCUUGACAGAGCCCCAGAGGAAGCACGGGCUAAGUUCGUGCCAGCAGCCGCGGUAAGACGAACUGUGCGAACGUUAUUCGGAAUCACUGGGCUUACAGGGUGCGUAGGCGGCCUGCUAAGUAGGGUGUGAAAUCCCCCGGCCCAACCGGGGAACUGCGCUCUAAACUAACAGGCUUGAGUGAGCUAGGGGUGCACGGAACUUCCAGUGGAGCGGUGAAAUGUGUUGAUAUUGGAAGGAACACCGGAGGCGAAAGCGGUGCACUGGGGCUUAACUGACGCUGAGGCACGAAAGCCAGGGUAGCGAACGGGAUUAGAUACC